UGGGGUAUCGCCAAGCGGUAAGGCACCGGAUUUUGAUUCCGGCAUUCCCUGGUUCGAAUCCACGUACCCCAGCCA
RNAcentral lists this transfer RNA (75 nucleotides) under Klebsiella pneumoniae. RNAcentral's name for it is "tRNA-Gln". It matches the Rfam family "tRNA". From Rfam's summary of the family: Transfer RNA (tRNA) molecules are approximately 80 nucleotides in length. Lineage: Bacteria; Pseudomonadati; Pseudomonadota; Gammaproteobacteria; Enterobacterales; Enterobacteriaceae. The record is from RNAcentral.